GACGAACGCUGGCGGCGUGCCUAAUACAUGCAAGUCGAGCGCAGGAAGCCGUCUGAACCCUUCGGGGGGACGACGGUGGAAUGAGCAGCGGACGGGUGAGUAACACGUAAAGAACCUGCCCAUAGGUCUGGGAUAACCACGAGAAAUCGGGGCUAAUACCGGAUGUGUCAUCGGACCGCAUGGUCCGAUGAUGGAAGGCGCUCCGGCGUCGCCCAUGGAUGGCUUUGCGGUGCAUUAGCUAGUUGGUGGGGUAACGGCCUACCAAGGCGACGAUGCAAAGCCGACCUGAGAGGGUGAUCGGCCACACUGGGACUGAGACGCGGCCCAGACUCCUACGGGAGGCAGCAGUAGGGAAUCUUCCACAAUGGACGAAAGUCUGAUGGAGCAACGCCGCGUGAACGAUGAAGGCUUUCGGGUCGUAAAGUUCUGUUGUAAGGGAAGAACAAGUGCCGCAGGCAAUGGCGGCACCUUGACGGUACCUUGCGAGAAAGCCACGGCUAACUACGUGCCAGCAGCCGCCGUAA
This 524-nucleotide ribosomal RNA is filed under the name uncultured bacterium. Its description in RNAcentral is "partial 16S ribosomal RNA". It matches the Rfam family "Bacterial small subunit ribosomal RNA", at positions 28 to 523 of the family's 1533-position model. The record is from RNAcentral.